GGGCGAGUGGCGGAAUUGGUAUACGCGUGUGGCUUAGGACCACAUCCCGCAAGGGUUGGGAGUUCGAGUCUCCCCUCGCCCA
RNAcentral lists this transfer RNA (82 nucleotides) under bacterium. Its description in RNAcentral is "tRNA-Leu". It matches the Rfam family "tRNA". Rfam says of the family: Transfer RNA (tRNA) molecules are approximately 80 nucleotides in length. Their secondary structure includes four short double-helical elements and three loops (D, anti-codon, and T loops). Further hydrogen bonds mediate the characteristic L-shaped molecular structure. tRNAs have two regions of fundamental functional importance: the anti-codon, which is responsible for specific mRNA codon recognition, and the 3' end, to which the tRNAs corresponding amino acid is attached (by aminoacyl-tRNA synthetases). tRNAs cope with the degeneracy of the genetic code in two manners: having more than one tRNA (with a specific anti-codon) for a particular amino acid; and 'wobble' base-pairing, i.e. permitting non-standard base-pairing at the 3rd anti-codon position. The record is from RNAcentral.